AGUGAACGCUGGCGGUAGGCCUAACACAUGCAAGUCGAACGGCAGCACAGUAAGAGCUUGCUCUUACGGGUGGCGAGUGGCAGACGGGUGAGGAAUACAUCGGAAUCUACUUUUUCGUGGGGGAUAAGGUUGGGAAACUGAGGCUAAUACCGAAUAGGACCAAGGGUUAAAAUCAGGGGGUUUAAGAACUUUUGUUGUUGUAAAGGGCGGGGUCGGGAUUAGUUAGUUGGUGGGGUAAGGGCUCGCCAAGGCAACGGUCCGUGGCUGGCCUGAGAGGAUGAUCGGCCACACUGGAACUGAGACACGGUCCAGACUCAUACGGAAGGCAGCAGUGGGGAAUGUUGGACGAUGGGCGCAAGCCUGAUCCAGCCAUACCGCGUGGGUGAAGAAGGCCUUCGGGUUGUAAAGCCCUUUUGUUGGGAAAGAAAAGCGGCAGGUUAAUACCCCGCUGUUCUGACGGUACCCAAAGAAUAAGCACCGGCUAACUUCGUG
Molecule: ribosomal RNA, 492 nt
Filed under: uncultured bacterium
Lineage: Bacteria
Description: partial 16S ribosomal RNA
Rfam family: Bacterial small subunit ribosomal RNA
Source: RNAcentral